CCUACGGGUGGCAGCAGUGGGGAAUAUUGGACAAUGGGCGAAAGCCUGAUCCAGCCAUGCCGCGUGUGUGAAGAAGGCCUUCGGGUUGUAAAGCACUUUCAGUGGGGAAGAAAGCCUUGGGGCGAAUACCCUCGUGGAAGGACAUCACCCACAGAAGAAGCACCGGCUAACUCCGUGCCAGCAGCCGCGGUAAUACGGAGGGUGCGAGCGUUAAUCGGAAUUACUGGGCGUAAAGCGCGCGUAGGCGGUCUGAUAAGCCGGUUGUGAAAGCCCCGGGCUCAACCUGGGAACGGCAUCCGGAACUGUCAGGCUAGAGUGCAGGAGAGGAAGGCAGAAUUCCCGGUGUAGCGGUGAAAUGCGUAGAGAUCGGGAGGAAUACCAGUGGCGAAGGCGGCCUUCUGGACUGACACUGACGCUGAGGUGCGAAAGCGUGGGUAGCAAACAGGAUUAGAUACCCCGGUAGUC
This 465-nucleotide ribosomal RNA is filed under the name Vreelandella stevensii. RNAcentral's name for it is "partial 16S ribosomal RNA". It matches the Rfam family "Bacterial small subunit ribosomal RNA", at positions 338 to 795 of the family's 1533-position model. The record is from RNAcentral. Lineage: Bacteria; Pseudomonadati; Pseudomonadota; Gammaproteobacteria; Oceanospirillales; Halomonadaceae.